GAUGAACGCUGGCGGCGUGCUUAACACAUGCAAGUCGAACGGAAAGGCUCCUGCUUGCAGGGGUACUCGAGUGGCGAACGGGUGAGUAACACGUGGGUGAUCUGCCCUGCACUUCAGGAUAAGCCUGGGAAACUGGGUCUAAUACCGGAUAGGACGAUGGUUUGGAUGCCAUUGUGGAAAGUUUUUUCGGUGUGGGAUGAGCUCGCGGCCUAUCAGCUUGUUGGUGGGGUAAUGGCCUACCAAGGCGUCGACGGGUAGCCGGCCUGAGAGGGUGUACGGCCACAUUGGGACUGAGAUACGGCCCAGACUCCUACGGGAGGCAGCAGUGGGGAAUAUUGCACAAUGGGCGCAAGCCUGAUGCAGCGACGCCGCGUGGGGGAUGACGGCCUUCGGGUUGUAAACUCCUUUCGCUAGGGACGAAGCGCAAGUGACGGUACCUGGAGAAGAAGCACCGGCUAACUACGU
This 465-nucleotide ribosomal RNA is filed under the name uncultured bacterium. RNAcentral's name for it is "partial 16S ribosomal RNA". It matches the Rfam family "Bacterial small subunit ribosomal RNA", at positions 28 to 506 of the family's 1533-position model. The record is from RNAcentral.